This 461-nucleotide ribosomal RNA is filed under the name uncultured bacterium. RNAcentral describes it as "bacterial SSU rRNA". It matches the Rfam family "Bacterial small subunit ribosomal RNA", at positions 343 to 797 of the family's 1533-position model. The record is from RNAcentral.
UGGAGGCAGCAGUGAGGAAUAUUGGACAAUGGGCGCAAGCCUGAUCCAGCCAUGCCGCGUGUGUGAAGAAGGCCUUCGGGUUGUAAAGCACUUUCAGUAGGGAGGAAGAGUAGAGUGUUAAUAGUACUCAGCUUUGACGUUACCUACAGAAGAAGCACCGGCUAACUCUGUGCCAGCAGCCGCGGUAAUACAGAGGGUGCAAGCGUUAAUCGGAAUUACUGGGCGUAAAGCGCACGUAGGCGGUUUUUUAAGUCAGAUGUGAAAGCCCCGGGCUCAACCUGGGAAUUGCAUUUGAAACUGGAAAACUAGAGUGUGUGAGAGGGGGGUAGAAUUCCAAGUGUAGCGGUGAAAUGCGUAGAGAUUUGGAGGAAUACCAGUGGCGAAGGCGGCCCCCUGGCACAACACUGACGCUCAGGUGCGAAAGCGUGGGGAGCAAACAGGAUUAGAUCCCUUGUAGUCCC